Neopelma chrysocephalum (saffron-crested tyrant-manakin) is the source of this 545-nucleotide long non-coding RNA. RefSeq lists it as uncharacterized. The transcript is spliced from 3 exons. NCBI's taxonomy places the organism in Eukaryota, Metazoa, Chordata, Aves, Passeriformes, Pipridae. The record is from RefSeq and is a predicted model, not a curated record.
AGAGUUCUGCAGUCCGAGGACCCUUGGCCCCACAGCUGGAUAUUCCACCACUGCCUUCACCCCUGUCUGCCCCGGGAUUUGGGGUCUGACCAGUGCUCCCAGGGGGGUUUGGGGUCUGACCGGUGUUCCCAGGGGUGUUUUGGGGUCUGACCAGUGCUCCUGGGGGGUUUGGGCUCUGACCAGGGCCCCGUUCCCUUUGUUCCCAGAUUCUGUUACACUUUUCCCUCAGGUUGUGGCUGUGGGGAAGGCGGAGGGGGGGCUGAGUACCCUGGGGGGCAUCCAGGCCUGGGGGGGCUCAGGGCAGGGCAGACCCCCCUCCUUCCUUUGUGUUUCCCUCCCCUGGUGGGAUCUUUGCCCCUGGUGCUCUGGGGGUGGAGGGGUCUGGGCCAGGGGUGCUGUUCCCCCCUCAGGGUGAUGCUCUGGGGGUGGGGAGCUCAGGGCCAGGGGUGCUGUGCCCCCUCACCCCUGUUCGGCUCCUGGGGGGGUCUGGGGUGCAGUGGGGGGUAAAUUAUUUUUUUGAUUCAGAGUAAAACCCUUUUCUAAGA